GAUGAACGCUGGCGGCGUGCCUAAUACAUGCGAGUCGAGCGAACAGACGAGGAGCUUGCUCCUCUGACGUUAGCGGCGGACGGGUGAGUAACACGUGGAUAACCUACCUAUAUGACUGGGAUAACUUCGGGAAACCGGAGCUAAUACCGGAUAAUAUAUUGAACCGCAUGGUUCAAUAGUGAAAGACGGUUUUGCUGUCACUUAUAGAUGGAUCCGCGCCGCAUUAGCUAGUUGGUAAGGUAACGGCUUACCAAGGCAACGAUGCGUAGCCGACCUGAGAGGAUGAUCAGCCACACUGGAACUGAGACACGGUCCAGACUCCUACGGGAGGCAGCAGUAGGGAAUCUUCCGCAAUGGGCGAAAGCUUGACGGAGCAACGCCGCGUGAGUGAUGAAGGUCUUCGGAUCGUAAAACUCUGUUAUUAGGGAAGAACAAAUGUGUAAGUAACUAUGCACGUCUUGACGGUACCUAAUCAGAAAGCCACGGCUAACUACGUG
Molecule: ribosomal RNA, 497 nt
Filed under: uncultured bacterium
Lineage: Bacteria
Description: partial 16S ribosomal RNA
Rfam family: Bacterial small subunit ribosomal RNA
Source: RNAcentral